This 1032-nucleotide long non-coding RNA is filed under the name Nicotiana benthamiana. Its description in RNAcentral is "long non-coding RNA (NBEN_LNC009377)". The record is from RNAcentral. Lineage: Eukaryota; Viridiplantae; Streptophyta; Magnoliopsida; Solanales; Solanaceae.
UUCAUCACAGUUCUUUUAUUUCAUAAAGACUAAGAUUAAAAAUCGUACAACAGACAGAAUGUUGAGUAGGCUGCAUCAUAUUAGAGCGCGCCCAUCUCAUCUAAAAAGCAUCAUUAAAUUGUUAGAGAAAAUAUACUUUUAAUUAAUUACUUAAUUAUAUUAUGUCUCAAUAGGUGGCCUUGGAGUGUGACGAUUAUUCGCUCCCGAGCCAGGGUAAUCAUGGCUCUCUAAAUCCAUCCUGCCAUUGAUCAUGAACUCUUUCUCUACAGCUUCCCAUUUCUUUAUCUGCUUUCAAUCAUAUUCAAAUAUACCCGCGAAACAAAGAAAAUGAGAUUAGAAACAAGAAAUCUAUGAAUUAACCUUACUCUCACAAAUAAGGUAAGGGUAAGGUCAGCGAACACACUAUUUUUUUCUGACCUAUUUAUGAGAUUACACUGGAUACGUUGUUGUAAUAUAUACAAGGAGAAGUACCUGGUUAGUAUAUGCAGGUGGUGGAAGCUCUUGAUUUUCAUGCAAAAACAGACGUGUAUUCCCUGUAGUACAAGAAGAAUGGAGUUUAAUGAAAAAUAUUAAAAUCAGAUAUUAGUAACUUAAGCCAUUUAAAGAAUUAGAUAGAGAAGUGAUCAAGAUUAUGUACUUGAAACUGGAGCAGCAUUAAGUGAGAAAAUAGUAGAGAAAACUAAUAAAGCUGUAAGUAGAUGAAGGACAUUAUUCCCUGCCAUUUUCUGUAUAUAUGACACUAAAAACUCCUCCGCAAAUAAUUCAUCCUAAUCCACUUCCCUAUUUAUACUGUAUACACUUGUAGUUGAAGUACUCUAUUGUAUUAGAAGCAAAAAGAAAUUAUUUAUUUAUGUCUAAUUAAAACACAAGAAUCUGUCCUAAAAUUAUAGUAUAUAAAUAUAAAUAUUGGUUAAACACUUUUGUUAUGGAGGAAUACCUACCCUAGUAAUUCCUGUCCUCCCUCAGAACAACAUAUCAAUCCCUUACUUUUCCAUAUAUGAUCAGAUUGACUUAUUUUAUAGCUAAGUUGUU